RNAcentral lists this ribosomal RNA (800 nucleotides) under Escherichia coli. RNAcentral describes it as "bacterial SSU rRNA". It matches the Rfam family "Bacterial small subunit ribosomal RNA", at positions 76 to 873 of the family's 1533-position model. The record is from RNAcentral. Lineage: Bacteria; Pseudomonadati; Pseudomonadota; Gammaproteobacteria; Enterobacterales; Enterobacteriaceae.
UUGCUUGCUUUGCUGACGAGUGGCGGACGGGUGAGUAAUGUCUGGGAAACUGCCUGAUGGAGGGGGAUAACUACUGGAAACGGUAGCUAAUACCGCAUAACGUCGCAAGACCAAAGAGGGGGACCUUCGGGCCUCUUGCCAUCGGAUGUGCCCAGAUGGGAUUAGCUAGUAGGUGGGGUAACGGCUCACCUAGGCGACGAUCCCUAGCUGGUCUGAGAGGAUGACCAGCCACACUGGAACUGAGACACGGUCCAGACUCCUACGGGAGGCAGCAGUGGGGAAUAUUGCACAAUGGGCGCAAGCCUGAUGCAGCCAUGCCGCGUGUAUGAAGAAGGCCUUCGGGUUGUAAAGUACUUUCAGCGGGGAGGAAGGGAGUAAAGUUAAUACCUUUGCUCAUUGACGUUACCCGCAGAAGAAGCACCGGCUAACUCCGUGCCAGCAGCCGCGGUAAUACGGAGGGUGCAAGCGUUAAUCGGAAUUACUGGGCGUAAAGCGCACGCAGGCGGUUUGUUAAGUCAGAUGUGAAAUCCCCGGGCUCAACCUGGGAACUGCAUCUGAUACUGGCAAGCUUGAGUCUCGUAGAGGGGGGUAGAAUUCCAGGUGUAGCGGUGAAAUGCGUAGAGAUCUGGAGGAAUACCGGUGGCGAAGGCGGCCCCCUGGACGAAGACUGACGCUCAGGUGCGAAAGCGUGGGGAGCAACAGGAUUAGAUACCCUGGUAGUCCACGCCGUAAACGAUGUCGACUUGGAGGUUGUGCCCUUGAGGCGUGGCUUCCGGAGCUAACGCGUUAAGUCGACCGCC